CCAAACUUGGUCAUUUAGAGGAAGUAAAAGUCGUAACAAGGUUUCCGUAGGUGAACCUGCGGAAGGAUCAUUAAUGCAAUGGUAGGGGGCGCGAACCCCUCACCGUUACCACCCUUCUUUACGAGUACCUCUUGUUCUUCCUCGGCGGGGUGACUCGCCGGUGGAACCCUUCUAUAAACUCCUUCAUAUCUAAGUAAUACUGUUCUAAUAACCCAAAAUCGUUAACAACUUUCAACAAUGGAUCUCUUGGCUCUGGCAUCGAUGAAGAACGCAGC
RNAcentral lists this unclassified non-coding RNA (275 nucleotides) under uncultured fungus. Its description in RNAcentral is "partial contains small subunit ribosomal RNA, internal transcribed spacer 1, and 5.8S ribosomal RNA". The stretch from base 1 to 73 matches the Rfam family "Eukaryotic small subunit ribosomal RNA", at positions 1759 to 1831 of the family's 1831-position model. Lineage: Eukaryota; Fungi. The record is from RNAcentral.